Small nuclear RNA from Nannospalax galili (Upper Galilee mountains blind mole rat), 163 nucleotides. Its record names the gene U1. It matches the Rfam family "U1 spliceosomal RNA". From Rfam's summary of the family: U1 is a small nuclear RNA (snRNA) component of the spliceosome (involved in pre-mRNA splicing). Its 5' end forms complementary base pairs with the 5' splice junction, thus defining the 5' donor site of an intron. There are significant differences in sequence and secondary structure between metazoan and yeast U1 snRNAs, the latter being much longer (568 nucleotides as compared to 164 nucleotides in human). Lineage: Eukaryota; Metazoa; Chordata; Mammalia; Rodentia; Spalacidae. The record is from Ensembl.
AUACUUACCUGGCAGGGGAGACACUAUGACCAAGAAGGUGGUUUCCUAGGGUGAGGCUUAUCCAUUGCACGUGGGCUCUGCUGACCCCUGUGAUUUCCCCAAAUGCGAGAAACUCAACUGCAUAAUUUGUGGUAGUAGGGGACUGCAUUCGAUCUCUCCCCUA